This 253-nucleotide ribosomal RNA is filed under the name uncultured bacterium. Its description in RNAcentral is "partial 16S ribosomal RNA". It matches the Rfam family "Bacterial small subunit ribosomal RNA", at positions 524 to 776 of the family's 1533-position model. The record is from RNAcentral.
UACGGGGGGGGCAAGCGUUGUUCGGAAUUACUGGGCGUAAAGGGCUCGUAGGCGGCCAACUAAGUCAGACGUGAAAUCCCUCGGCUUAACCGGGGAACUGCGUCUGAUACUGGAUGGCUUGAGGUUGGGAGAGGGAUGCGGAAUUCCAGGUGUAGCGGUGAAAUUCGUAGAUAUUGGGAAGAACACCGAUGGCGAAGGCAGCCAUCUGGACCGACACUGACGCUGAGGCGCGAAAGCGUGGGGAGCAAACAGG